CCUGCGCGUCAGGGGUACGGGGAGCCGAGCGGAAGUGCGGUGGGUGGGCGGGUAGCCGAAGGUGCACGAGGAGGUUCCGUCCUUGACCUUUGGUCUGGUGGCCCAGCAGAACCCCCGGAAGCCCUGUGGUGAGGCCCGAGAUUGUACAGGAACAGCUUAAGACCACUCAGUGGUCAAUACUAUCCAUUCGGUGGCCUGAACAGGGGGAGCUGCACCCCAGUCUUCAGUGGGGUGCUGAACACUCCAGUCUUUGGUGGGGAAUUGCUGAAAAGGCACAGAGGCACGUGCCUGCCUGCAGAGCAGGUCUGGGACCGCAGGUGGAGCAGCCAUGAACUCAGGAGCCGGAGCAGUCCAUUCACCCUGAAAUUCUUCCUUGAGAGAGACAGAGCAUGAACAGGGGAGGGUCAGAGAGACGGAGACACAGAAUCUGAAAC
Molecule: long non-coding RNA, 434 nt
Organism: Felis catus (domestic cat)
Lineage: Eukaryota; Metazoa; Chordata; Mammalia; Carnivora; Felidae
Exons: 3
Source: RefSeq, a predicted model, not a curated record